GCAUAUCAAUAAGCGGAGGAAAAAGAAACUAACAAGGAUUCCCCUAGUAACUGCGAGUGAAGCGGGAAAAGCUCAAAUUUAAAAUCUGGUGGUCUUUGGCCAUCCGAGUUGUAAUCUAGAGAAGUGUUACCCGCGUCGGACCGUGUACAAGUCUCCUGGAAUGGAGCGUCAUAGAGGGUGAGAAUCCCGUCUUUGACACGGACGCCCGAUGCUUUGUGGUGCGCUCUCAACGAGUCGAGUUGUUUGGGAAUGCAGCUCAAAAUGGGUGGUAAAUUCCAUCUAAAGCUAAAUAUUGGCGAGAGACCGAUAGCGAACAAGUACCGUGAGGGAAAGAUGAAAAGAACUUUGGAAAGAGAGUUAAACAGUACGUGAAAUUGCUGAAAGGGAAACGCUUGAAGUCAGUCGCGUUGGCCGGAAAUCAGCCUUCCUUUUGGUUGAUGUACUUUCUGGUUGACGGGCCAGCAUCAGUUUUGACCGGUGGAAAAAGUUGUAGGGAAUGUGGCAUCUUCGGGUGUGUUAUAGCCCUGCUUCGUAUACAUCGGUUGGGACUGAGGAACUCAGCACGCCGCAAGGCCGGGGUUCGCCCACGUUCGUGCUUAGGAUGCUGGCAUAAUGGCUUUAAUCGACCCGUCUUGAAACACGGACCAAGGAGUCUAACAUGCCUGCGAGUGUUUGGGUGGAAAACCCGAGCGCGUAAUGAAAGUGAAAGUCGAGAUCCUUGUCAUGGGGAGCAUCGACGCCCGGACCAGACGUUUUCUGACGGUUCUGCGGUAGAGCAUGUAUGUUGGGACCCGAAAGAUGGUGAACUAUGCCUGAAUAGGGUGAAGCCAGAGGAAACUCUGGUGGAGGCUCGUAGCGAUUCUGGACGUGCAAAUCGAUCGUCAAAUUUGGGUAUAGGGGGCGAAAGACUAAUCGAACCAUCUAGUAGCUGGUUCCUGCCGAAG
Molecule: ribosomal RNA, 944 nt
Filed under: Ephemerocybe hiascens
Lineage: Eukaryota; Fungi; Basidiomycota; Agaricomycetes; Agaricales; Psathyrellaceae
Description: LSU rRNA
Rfam family: Eukaryotic large subunit ribosomal RNA
Source: RNAcentral